CCGCGCUUAACAAGAUGAA
RNAcentral lists this non-coding RNA (19 nucleotides) under Arabidopsis thaliana (thale cress). Lineage: Eukaryota; Viridiplantae; Streptophyta; Magnoliopsida; Brassicales; Brassicaceae. The record is from RNAcentral.